Ostertagia ostertagi is the source of this 71-nucleotide non-coding RNA. The record is from the annotation of a GenBank genome assembly. NCBI's taxonomy places the organism in Eukaryota, Metazoa, Nematoda, Chromadorea, Rhabditida, Trichostrongylidae.
GUCUCAUAAUGGAACUGAACCAGCGACCUUUUGUUUACUAGACAUACGCUUUGCCCCUGAGCCAAUGAUGA